Tupaia belangeri (northern tree shrew) is the source of this 134-nucleotide small nucleolar RNA. Lineage: Eukaryota; Metazoa; Chordata; Mammalia; Scandentia; Tupaiidae. The record is from Ensembl.
CGCGGCCCUUAUCGAAGCUGCAGCUGCUUCCGAAGCGUAGAGGCUGUCGUCAGAGGAGCCCGGAGUGAGUUUUCCCCAACUGCCGCCAUUGGGCUUGCUAUGGCCGGUCUGCAACAUUGUGGGGAAAGUGCCAU